AAUUACAAGCGAAAGCAUAAAAUUCAAAGGACUUGACGGUAUUUCACAUCAACCUAGAGGAGCCUGUCCUAUAAUCGAUAAUCCACGUUUUACCUCACCCAUUUUUGCCAGACCAGCCUGUAUACCGCCGUCGCCAGCCCAUCUAAUGAUAGAAUAUAAAUGGACAAAAUUGUACAACCACAAAAACGUCAGGUCAAGGUGCAGCUAAUGAAUGGGCUGAGAUGGGCUACAUUUUUUAAUAUAAAAAACUACUACAAGCAACAUGAAAUAUUGCGCUACCAAGGUGGAUUUAGUAGUAAAUUUGUGCAAGAUAUGCCACAUUGAAACCUGUUCUGAAAUGCGUACACACCGCC
Molecule: ribosomal RNA, 353 nt
Filed under: Phelsuma dorsivittata
Lineage: Eukaryota; Metazoa; Chordata; Lepidosauria; Squamata; Gekkonidae
Description: partial 12S ribosomal RNA
Rfam family: Bacterial small subunit ribosomal RNA
Source: RNAcentral